UACGGAGGGGGCUAGCGUUGUUCGGAAUUACUGGGCGUAAAGCGCACGUAGGCGGCUUUGUAAGUUAGAGGUGAAAGCCCGGGGCUCAACUCCGGAAUUGCCUUUAAGACUGCAUCGCUAGAAUUGUGGAGAGGUAAGUGGAAUUCCGAGUGUAGAGGUGAAAUUCGUAGAUAUUCGGAAGAACACCAGUGGCGAAGGCGACUCACUGGACAGAUAUUGACGCUGAGGUGCGAAAGCGUGGGGAGCAAACAGG
This 253-nucleotide ribosomal RNA is filed under the name uncultured bacterium. Its description in RNAcentral is "partial 16S ribosomal RNA". It matches the Rfam family "Bacterial small subunit ribosomal RNA", at positions 524 to 776 of the family's 1533-position model. The record is from RNAcentral.